GAUCAGCCACACUGGAACUGAGACACGGUCCAGACUCCUACGGGAGGCAGCAGUGGGGAAUAUUGCGCAAUGGGCGAAAGCCUGACGCAGCCAUGCCGCGUGUGUGAAGAAGGCCUUAGGGUUGUAAAGCACUUUCAAUUGGGAAGAAAGGUUGUACGUUAAUAGCGUGCAGCUGUGACAUUACCUUUAGAAGAAGCACCGGCUAACUCCGUGCCAGCAGCCGCGGUAAUACGGAGGGUGCGAGCGUUAAUCGGAAUUACUGGGCGUAAAGCGCGCGUAGGCGGUUAGUUAAGUCGGAUGUGAAAGCCCUGGGCUCAACCUGGGAACUGCAUUCGAUACUGGCCAACUAGAGUGCAAGAGAGGGAGGUAGAAUUCCACGUGUAGCGGCGAAAUGCGUAGAUAUGUGGAGGAAUACCGGUGGCGAAGGCGGCCUCCUGGCUUGACACUGACGCUGAGGUGCGAAAGCGUGGAGAGCAAACAGGAUUAGAUACCCUGGUAGUCCACGCCGUAAACGAUGUCUACUAGCCGUUGGGGUACUUGAGACCUUAGUGGCGCAGCUAACGCACUAAGUAGACCGCCUGGGGAGUACGGCCGCAAGGUUAAAACUCAAAUGAAUUGACGGGGGCCCGCACAAGCGGUGGAGCAUGUGGUUUAAUUCGAUGCAACGCGAAGAACCUUACCAGGUCUUGACAUCCAGAGAACUUUCCAGAGAUGGAUUGGUGCCUUCGGGAACUCUGUGACAGGUGCUGCAUGGCUGUCGUCAGCUCGUGUCGUGAGAUGUUGGGUUAAGUCCCGUAACGAGCGCAACCCUUGUCCUUAGUUGCCAGCGCGUAAUGGCGGGAACUCUAAGGAGACUGCCGGUGACAAACCGGAGGAAGGUGGGGACGACGUCAAGUCAUCAUGGCCCUUACGACCUGGGCUACACACGUGCUACAAUGGAACGCACAGAGGGCAGCAAACCCGCGAGGGGGAGCGAAUCCCACAAAACGUUUCGUAGUCCGGAUUGGAGUCUGCAACUCGACUCCAUGAAGUCGGAAUCGCUAGUAAUCGUGAACCAGAAUGUCACGGUGAAUACGUUCCCGGGCCUUGUACACACCGCCCGUCACACCAUGGGAGUGGGUUGCUCCAGAAGUGGUUAGCCUAACCUUCGGGAGGGCGAUCACCACGGAGUGAUUCAUGACUGGGGUGAAGUCGAAACAAGGUA
This 1204-nucleotide ribosomal RNA is filed under the name metagenome. Its description in RNAcentral is "bacterial SSU rRNA". It matches the Rfam family "Bacterial small subunit ribosomal RNA", at positions 302 to 1498 of the family's 1533-position model. The record is from RNAcentral.